AUCCCAUGAUGAGGACAAUCUUCAAUUUAGUCUUGAAAUCUUUCCCAAGCUUCAAUGAAUGAUUCGUCAUGUUGCUGUUGGAAGCUUGAAAUUUUCCCAUGCAU
Molecule: small nucleolar RNA, 104 nt
Filed under: Sorghum bicolor (sorghum)
Lineage: Eukaryota; Viridiplantae; Streptophyta; Magnoliopsida; Poales; Poaceae
Description: Plant small nucleolar RNA R71
Rfam family: Plant small nucleolar RNA R71
About the family: R71 is a member of the C/D box family of snoRNAs containing the C (UGAUGA) and D (CUGA) box motifs. Multiple nearly identical copies of this snoRNA have been identified in Arabidopsis, and it is thought to function as a 2'-O-ribose methylation guide for 18S ribosomal RNA.
Source: Rfam by way of RNAcentral